AUUGAACGCUGGCGGCAGGCCUAACACAUGCAAGUCGAACGGUGACAGGAAGAAGCUUGCUUCUUUGCUGACGAGUGGCGGACGGGUGAGUAAUGUCUGGGAAACUGCCUGAUGGAGGGGGAUAACUACUGGAAACGGUAGCUAAUACCGCAUAACGUCGCAAGACCAAAGAGGGGGACCUUCGGGCCUCUUGCCAUCGGAUGUGCCCAGAUGGGAUUAGCUAGUUGGUGGGGUAACGGCUCACCAAGGCGACGGUCCCUAGCUGGUCUGAGAGGAUGACCAGCCACACUGGAACUGAGACACGGUCCAGGCUCCUACGGGAGGCAGCAGUGGGGAAUAUUGCACAAUGGGCGCAAGCCUGAUGCAGCCAUGCCGCGUGUAUGAAGAAGGCCUUCGGGUUGUAAAGUACUUUCAGCGGGGAGGAAGGGAGUAAAGUUAAUACCUUUGCUCAUUGACGUUACCCGCAGAAGAAGCACCGGCUAACUCCGUGCCAGCCGCCGCAGUAA
RNAcentral lists this ribosomal RNA (506 nucleotides) under uncultured bacterium. Its description in RNAcentral is "partial 16S ribosomal RNA". It matches the Rfam family "Bacterial small subunit ribosomal RNA", at positions 30 to 523 of the family's 1533-position model. The record is from RNAcentral.